CGAGCGGUAACAGAGAGAAGCUUGCUUCUUUGCUGACGAGCGGCGACGGGUGAGUAACGCGUAGGAAUCUACCUAUUAGUGGGGGAUAAGCCAGAGAAAUUUGGUCUAAUACCGCAUACGCCCUACGGGGGAAAGGAGGGGCUCUUCGGACCUUUCGCUAUUAGAUGAGCCUGCGUAAGAUUUAGCUAGUUGGUGAGGUAAGAGCUCACCAAGGCGACGAUCUUUAGCUGGUCUGAGAGGAUGAUCAGCCACACUGGGACUGAGACACGGCCCAGACUCCUACGGGAGGCAGCAGUGGGGAAUAUUGGACAAUGGGGGCAACCCUGAUCCAGCCAUGCCGCGUGUGUGAAGAAGGCCUUCGGGUUGUAAAGCACUUUCAGAUGUGAGGAAAGGUGAGUAGUUAAUACCUGCUUACUGUGACGUUAGCAUCAGAAGAAGGACCGGCUAACUCCGUG
This 455-nucleotide ribosomal RNA is filed under the name uncultured bacterium. Its description in RNAcentral is "bacterial SSU rRNA". It matches the Rfam family "Bacterial small subunit ribosomal RNA", at positions 63 to 507 of the family's 1533-position model. The record is from RNAcentral.